RNAcentral lists this ribosomal RNA (478 nucleotides) under uncultured eubacterium WR165. RNAcentral describes it as "bacterial SSU rRNA". It matches the Rfam family "Bacterial small subunit ribosomal RNA", at positions 9 to 527 of the family's 1533-position model. The record is from RNAcentral.
GAGUUUGAUCAUGGCUCAGAGCGAACGCUGGCGGCAUGCUUAACACAUGCAAGUCGCACGGGCAGGGGAAACUCUGUCAGUGGCGGACGGGUGAGUAACGCGUAGGUAUCUAUCCUUGGGUGGGGGACAACUGUGGGAAACUACAGCUAAUACCGCAUGAUAACCGAGGUUUAAAGGCGCAAGUCGCCUGAGGAGGAGCCUGCGUACGAUUAGCUAGUUGGUGGGGUAAAGGCCUACCAAGGCGACGAUCGUUAGCUGGUCUGAGAGGAUGAUCAGCCACAUUGGGACUGAGACACGGCCCAAACUCCUACGGGAGGCAGCAGUGGGGAAUAUUGGACAAUGGGCGAAAGCCUGAUCCAGCAAUGCCGCGUGUGUGAAGAAGGUCUUCGGAUUGUAAAGCACUUUCGACGGGGACGAUGAUGACGGUACCCGUAGAAGAAGCCCCGGCUAACUUCGUGCCAGCAGCCGCGGUAAUACG